Molecule: long non-coding RNA, 138 nt
Organism: Sapajus apella (tufted capuchin)
Lineage: Eukaryota; Metazoa; Chordata; Mammalia; Primates; Cebidae
Exons: 3
Source: RefSeq, a predicted model, not a curated record
UUUAUUUUCAAUUUAUGUGGAUAGAUCAUAGGUAUAUAUAAUUAUGGGGUACAUAAGAUGUUUUAAAACAGGCAUGCAAUGUAAAAUAAGCACAUCAUGGAAAAUGCAGUAUCCACCCCCUCAUUUGGUUUUUAUGUU